GGUCCAGGCAGAAGAAGAACAUCAUGGCUUCAAAACCUAAGGGACUGGUUUGGACAAAACUCAGCAGCACUUUUUCAUGUGGCUGUUGACAAAAAUAGGAUUGCCAACAUGAUCUCCAGUGUCUGAUGAUGGAUAUGGCACAAGAAGAAGAAGAAAAAGCCAUUCUAUCCUGUUUAAAAGUGAAAGGGCCAGAGGAAAAGAGAAGAGAAACAUCUGACGUUAUCAACCUUCCGAGUAGGAGGCAAGACCACUAGACCACCACACUGCUCAAUGGUUCAACAACAAGCUUCUAACAACUGAAAGACAGAGUCAGUUUAUUGCCGACCUUGGAAGGAUCGAAAGCUGAGUCAGCCUUGAGCCUGGUGAGAUCUGAACUGCCGAACUGCUGGCAGCCGGUGAUCAGCAGAAGUAGCCUGCAGUACUGUACUCUAACCACUGUGCCACCAUAGCUCUCUAUCAAUCAAUGAUGUAGAUUGUAUAAUUAAACUAUUUUAGAACUUUUCUAAAAGUUCCAAAAAGUCACAGCCUUGCCAUGAAUCUUUUACUUUGCAAAUCCUGUCUGUCUGUCCUAAUGAUUCAGAAAUUAUUUGCAAUUAUUCCUAAUUAUUUCAGAAAUCCAGGCAGCCAUAGUUUGUUUUCUCCCAUUUGAAGGCAGGAAAUUAACCCUGAUCUAUUGCUGCAUAAGAAAUUUGCCAGCUUGUGUGGCCAAAUAAUGUUCAGGAGUCCAUGGGGAUUGCUCAGCUUCAGCUUUCUCAGGACUGAGAAAGCGUCUUUUGUAAUAAUACAUUAUUUCUGAAUAAACUGUGAUUUGUAAACAAGCCUAUUUAAUUCAUAAACCAGCCCUUGUGAGAUUCUCUUUUUUUCUUUUGUUUUCAUUCUUUUGAAGAUGUCUUUUCACUAGCUGAUUUAAACCAUUAAAACAUUCUCUGACUCAAGAACAGCUGCAAAAGUUCUUCCAUUUCCCACUUCUAACUCAUGUUGGCUCAUAACCAAAGCCAAAUUCCUAGCAAGGCCAAAAGCAGAGAAGAGGCUACAAGAACAAGAUGGUGUUCUUAUUCUAAUAAGGCAGGUGAAAGGUGGCCCAGCUUUUAAUGAAAACACAACAGCAAUGCAUUUCCAGAGAUGGCUCACAUUUGUUUGGUCUCUCUUAAUUUUUCUGGAAAAGUCAUUAUCAAGAAAAAGAAGAAAAUGUUAACAAUCCUUGCCAGUGACUGUUGCUUAUAAUGCUGUUCUGACCAAAUCGUUUAAAAAGAUAUGCUAUCUAAUGUGGGCUUCUCCAUGACCCCAAAUAAAAUUAAGCUCUGUGAAAUAUUUUUGUCCUUGUAUUGCCUCUACAAGGCGACUUCUUUGUUUUAUUCAGAAAUAUUGAAUAAGUGCAGACCUGGGUGGUCAAAACAAUAGUGCAAUAUCAGAACAGGGAGAAUUAACCUUGAAAUGUUGGAGAGGCUAGAAUGUUUUUUUCCAAACAAAUUACUCUGAGAAAUUUCUUAGAGGCAAUUAAUUUUGGCCUAUCUUUAUUUAUGUAUUUGAAAUCUCCUUGAAGACAAAUAUCUUCCCAAGGCAGCUUCCAGCAGAAAAAUGGAAACAUAUUUUUUCUAUUAUUAUUUUUUUAAAAAAAAAUUUUAACAGGAGCCGUUAUGAAAACAAACCUAAAAAGUCACCCUGACAUAUAAAUGUAAUCCUGUCAAUUACCAUAAAAUAAAUUUAAACUAGUGAAGAUAAGACACCAUAACUGUUCUAAGAAAAAGCAAUAUGAGGCAAGGAGGAAUCUGGUAGAAUCUAUUCAAUCUGGCAAAAUGUAUUAAAAGGUGCAAGUUUGUCAGCUUUCAGCUCACAAAAUCUUAUGCCUUUAAAUUAAAUUAGUGAGUCUUAAAAAUACUACUAGACUCCUUCUGAGUUUGGGCUACCAUAAGUUAACAAACUUUCCUCCCAAACUACAAAGUAUUAAUUUCUUAAUGAAAGAUGUUAAAUGGCAGGUCCCAUAUCAAUCUUCAAGGAAAGAUGAAUAUUUCUUUAUACUGUAAUAUUUUGAACCUAGAGAAGAAGUGCUAGAUUGUCUUCUUAAGGUCGGUCACUAUGGCUGCUAGUAGCCUGGAAACUUCUAUCCAAGUCCAUGGAUAUGUCAUGAAUGUAUGAGUUAUGAGUCAUAACACAUAUGAAUGGCCAGCAAGGUAGAGCCCCACAUUGUAUGACUGAACUGAUGGCUUACCCAUGUACCUUGAUAGGAGAACACUGGAAAGGAAUGCUGUUGGUGGGGAAGAAGGGAAGAAAGUAAGCAGAGAUCCAGAAGGCAACAGUGGAAUAGUAAAUUUAAGAAAUAAAAAGAAUCCAAGAAAAUCUCUGUGUUCUAGGAAGGAGCAGGGCCAAAGAAUUGAGGAAUUCAAAAGAAAGGGUGUGGCUCAACAGAGGAGAAGUCUUGGAAGAAACAGAAAGGGAACUUGAGAUGGAAAACCUGGUAUGAAUUAGGGGCAAACUUUGAGGCACAGCCUAUGAGGCUUUUAUUUAAGAGUGGAAAAUGGCUCAAACUUUCCCAGCAGGGAAUCCGAGGUUGUGAAAGAAGAUUCUUCAGUUCUGGGAAUAAUAGAGCCUACACCAUACCAAGUUGAUGCAGGAUUCUGUCUCCUCAAUUCUUUGAAAAUGCACGCUGCAGUGGAAAACUACUUUUUUAAAAUAAAUAAUUGGGAGAAUGGGACGGAGACACUACGGGAGAUCUUGAGAUAUCAUCAGCUUCAAGGAGGACCUAACCCUGAACAGCAUUUUGCUGAAUAGAUGCCAGUGUUCAAAAACAAGAGAUUCUUCUGACCUUUUGGAGAUGUUAGCAACUCACCCAGCAUUGUGUCAUCUGCAGAUUUGCUGAGCCUCCCUUCUACCAAAUGGUGAAGACCAACGGACCUUCCUGAGCCCCGGGUGUCCAAGUGUGGACAUGUACAUAUAUGAAAUACAAUCCAAAUUGAACACAGCUGCUGUUAUUAAUUAUAAACACAAUCUAUAAUCCUCGAUCUUCAUAAAAACUUGCAGUUUUACCAAAAAAAAUUGCAUAAUGAAACUGUUUCCUUCAAAACAUUAAGCAGCUUGUAAUGACUACAUUGCAAUCAAAAUGUUAAUAACAGAGAUGAAAUUUCGUGUAGGGGAGCCUUCAAGUCUUCACUACUGGCAACUGCAAGGAAUAGUCCUUUAAGUUUUCUCCAUAAGAAUUUGGAACUGAUUUGUCCCAGCAAUUUUUCCAAGGCUAAGAGAGACUGACUGGCCCACAAUUACCAAAUGGUUUUGUGCCUCAGGCCAGACUAGAACUCACCUUCUGGUUUUCAGCUGAUGCCUUAACUGUGCCACCAAACAGGUAUUCAAAAGUUAAAGACUUAAAAACUUUAAGUCAUUAAUUGCUGUAACGAUUUCUAUAACAAUCCUUUUAUGGCCUUACCCUAACUGCAUAAAACAGAGAUACUUCAACUAAAA
Non-coding RNA from Pantherophis guttatus, 3453 nucleotides. The record is from RefSeq and is a predicted model, not a curated record. Lineage: Eukaryota; Metazoa; Chordata; Lepidosauria; Squamata; Colubridae.